Molecule: ribosomal RNA, 216 nt
Filed under: Glomeromycotina sp.
Lineage: Eukaryota; Fungi; Glomeromycota
Description: partial small subunit ribosomal RNA
Rfam family: Eukaryotic small subunit ribosomal RNA (bases 40-216)
Source: RNAcentral
GGGUCAGUAGGUUGGUCGUGCCACCGGUACGUACUGGUCUCACUGAUUCCUCCUUCCUGAAGAACCGUAAUGCCAUUAAUUUGGUGUUGCGGGGAAACAGGACUGUUACUUUGAAAAAAUUAGAGUGCUUAAGGCAAGCUAACGCUUGAAUACAUUAGCAUGGAAUAAUGAAAUAGGACGAUCGAUCCUAUUUUGUUGGUUUCUAGGAUUGACGUA